GGUAAAAAGCCAAUGCCCACCAAACAUUGAGGGAGUGGAGUCUUCAUUCCUCUGAAGAAGUGUGCAGUGUUGGGAAGAACACAGAAUGAAGCUGAAGUUGCAAACACUUAAGAGGCUAAUCCGGACCAUGCAGUGUUCGGAAAGAACUGUAGAGGCAGUAGAUUCACCCCGCUCUUUAUCCCUUUGGUUGGAGGCACAAGAUAAUCUGGCAGAAGUGGAUGUGACUGAAUAACCAAUCACUGAAGAAUGGAAGGUAUAGGAAGGCGGGAUGUUGGGUAGAACCAGCUGUUCUGUGUCGUGGUUCUCUUAUAGAGCUAAAAACUGCAGACCAGACUACUGAGAGUGGUGGGUGGCAUUGAGAGACCCAGAAAACUUAGGAGAAAGGGUCCUCAACCCUUUGGAGAAAAUAAAGAGAAAAACUACAAAAUUGGGUGGAACUUUCUCUUCUGGUAUAUACAGAAACAUUUUUAGCACUUUAUAAAGUGUUAUUUAGUUGAUACACAUAUAUGUGCGUAUGAAAUUUAAUGUUGCCAUGUGAAAAUUGCCAUUUUGCUCCAUGAAAAUUGGCACUCUUUUCCAGGACAAAAUACAGCCUGAGUGUAUACUCAAACAGGCUAAAGGAAAUGACUGCUUAAAUAGCGAUACAACAGAUGAAAGUCUUGUGUAUGAAGGCCCUGCAGAGAUGACAUGAACAAGACAACUGUGACCCGUGUCUAAAUGGAUUUACAGUAGAACCUGAGUUACAAACUAACCGGUCAACCACACACCUCAUUUGGAACCAGAAGUACGCAGUCAGGCAGCAGCAGAGAGGGGGAAAAAAGGC
Long non-coding RNA from Dermochelys coriacea (leatherback sea turtle), 823 nucleotides. RefSeq lists it as uncharacterized. The transcript has 3 exons. The record is from RefSeq and is a predicted model, not a curated record. Lineage: Eukaryota; Metazoa; Chordata; Testudines; Dermochelyidae.